UGCUGCUGCUGGUAAUCACUCUGGCAGUACAAGCUUUUUAGGUGAUACAUCGCCAACAAAACAUGCUAAGCUUGCCUAUUCGAUACACAUGCUUAGGCACAAUUGUUAGGACCGGGCUCCGCGCGUCAAGGCGCGCUGCAGCUCUAGUACAACAUGACAGUCAUAAAGUUGCAUUAUUUAGCCACUGGUAGGGUAGGAUAUACCCAAAUGUGGUCAGUAUAGGAACCAGGGUCCCCUAAUUGCUAGCAAAACUUGUGUAAUGAGCUCUUGUUACCUUCUACUAAUGUUUAGUCUUGUUUUUUUAGUACUUCUGUAUUGGUAUCCAGAAAUAAAAUUCAUAUGUUUCUAUAUAUGUUCUUUUAGAUAAGUAUGUCAAUACAUAACUAGUAAUGUAAAUGGUGUGACGCAGUUCUAAAUAAAAAUGCAAAUAGCUUGUGAAUGUCAAUCUCAUGUGAGUCAGUCAAUGAACUUACUAUAUUAGUCUCUUAGACCAAUACAUGCUUUUCUGUAACUUUAGAUAUUUUCCAGAAUAGUUUGCUUGGUCCUUCAUAUCUAAAGCUUGCAUGUACUGUAGAAGCUCUACUUUAUGCUAAUACUUGCUUGUGUAACAUUUUUCAUGGCAUACUUCUAAAUGGACAAGUAUGUGCGACGUCCAGCGUCAACGAUGAUGCGGACCAUAUGUUCAACUGCAGCCCCAUCCAUUGCAUCGACACAAAGAUGUUUUGCAUCAGCCUGUCAUUGCUAAGGGAGAAGCGGGACUUGGAGAAGAAAUCUUUCCAUUAAGCAGAUUACAUGUUUGGUUGCUGUGAAGUACUAGAUAGGCUAGUUCUAUUUUUUUCAUGAUCCUGGAGUAUUUCAGCAGCGCCAUGCAAAUGCAGUAGCGUUAGGUUUUUGAUUCACCUUUUGUAAAAACUUAGUUAACCCGCAGUCAGUCAGUAGUAGCUCAGCCAGCCAGCCAGCCUCAAAUAGUAUUGCUGGAAUGAAUGGUUGUAAUAUAAUAACAUUGCACGUUGCUUUGAAAAUGUAUCAGAACUGGGCUAGGCCCAAGAUAGCUUGUGGUGUGAUGUGUUGUAAUGUCAA
This is a long non-coding RNA of Aegilops tauschii subsp. strangulata, 1080 nucleotides long. RefSeq lists it as uncharacterized. Lineage: Eukaryota; Viridiplantae; Streptophyta; Magnoliopsida; Poales; Poaceae. The record is from RefSeq and is a predicted model, not a curated record.